GCCGUCUUAGCUCAGUUGGUUAGAGCGCAGCCAUGGUAAGGCUGAGGUCUCCGGUUCGAUUCCGGAAGACGGCU
RNAcentral lists this transfer RNA (74 nucleotides) under Candidatus Magasanikiibacteriota bacterium. RNAcentral's name for it is "Candidatus Magasanikbacteria bacterium tRNA-Thr". It matches the Rfam family "tRNA". Rfam says of the family: Transfer RNA (tRNA) molecules are approximately 80 nucleotides in length. Their secondary structure includes four short double-helical elements and three loops (D, anti-codon, and T loops). The record is from RNAcentral. Lineage: Bacteria; Candidatus Magasanikiibacteriota.